UACGUAGGGUACGAGCGUUAAUCGGAAUUACUGGGCGUAAAGCGUGCGCAGGCGGUUUGGUAAGACAGAUGUGAAAUUCCCGGGCUUAACCUGGGAACUGCAUUUGUGACUGCCAGGCUAGAGUGCGGCAGAGGGGAGUGGAAUUCCGCGUGUAGCAGUGAAAUGCGUAGAUAUGCGGAGGAACACCGAUGGCGAAGGCAAUCCCCUGGGCCUGUACUGACGCUCAUGCACGAAAGCGUGGGGAGCAAACAGG
RNAcentral lists this ribosomal RNA (253 nucleotides) under uncultured bacterium. RNAcentral describes it as "partial 16S ribosomal RNA". It matches the Rfam family "Bacterial small subunit ribosomal RNA", at positions 524 to 776 of the family's 1533-position model. The record is from RNAcentral.